Molecule: ribosomal RNA, 103 nt
Filed under: uncultured bacterium
Lineage: Bacteria
Description: partial 16S ribosomal RNA
Source: RNAcentral
AAGGCCUGCGGGUUGUAAAGCACUUUUAGUGGGAUGAAAAUUCAGGGCUAAUAACCCUGGGUCUUGACCUAACCCAAAGAAAAAGCACCGGCUAACUCUGUGC